This 129-nucleotide non-coding RNA is filed under the name Tissierella creatinophila DSM 6911. RNAcentral's name for it is "Bacterial large subunit ribosomal RNA". It matches the Rfam family "Bacterial large subunit ribosomal RNA", at positions 2799 to 2925 of the family's 2925-position model. The record is from Rfam by way of RNAcentral. Lineage: Bacteria; Bacillati; Bacillota; Tissierellia; Tissierellales; Tissierellaceae.
UCAAGAUAAGAUUUCCCAUCAUCAUUAGAUGAGUAAGACUCCAGGAAGACCACCUGGUUGAUAGGUCUCAGGUAGAAGGAUAGCAAUAUCUGUAGCUUAGAGAUACUAAUAAGUCGAGGACUUGACCUA